Molecule: microRNA, 21 nt
Filed under: Mus musculus (house mouse)
Lineage: Eukaryota; Metazoa; Chordata; Mammalia; Rodentia; Muridae
Description: mmu-miR-6418-5p
Source: miRBase by way of RNAcentral
UCAGGGGAAGGGAAGAGAUGC